Long non-coding RNA from Columba livia (rock pigeon), 7842 nucleotides. RefSeq lists it as uncharacterized. The record is from RefSeq and is a predicted model, not a curated record. The transcript has 4 exons. NCBI's taxonomy places the organism in Eukaryota, Metazoa, Chordata, Aves, Columbiformes, Columbidae.
CGGGGCGGGCGCAGGGGGCGGGGAGGGCGCGUCCGGCAGCUGCCAAACGUGCUGGAAAACCAGCUGGAAGCGAAGCAGGUGUAGCAGGGGAGCGAACAAGGCCCGGGGGGUUGAUCAGUGGAGCCAGAACUCAGUGGAGCCUGGUGACAUACAACAGUAGGAAGACCAUGAAAGAAAGAUCUGCAGUUCCAGCUGAUUUUGAAUCCCAUCAGUGUGGACCCAGUCACCAUGAACCAAUUUUCCAUGACAGAUAUCAAAACAAGAUCUCAGUCUCAGCUGAGGAUGUUCACAUUGCAAACCACUCAGACUGCAUCUGAAGAGGACCAUGCCUGUUCUGCCUGCAGUCCUGAUCCUGAUUCCAGUCCAUGCAUUCCUGAAUCCAGUUCCUGUCUACUGUGGAGUCCAGCCCAGGACUUCCUGAUGUCUGUCCUGCAAGCACAGGCAUGAUGCCAGCAACUGCAUGGGAUUCUAUGACCAUCCAGGACACUCGAUAUUGGCUUUGUGUAUUUUGCAUUAUUUCUUUUAUUAGUAGUAUUAUCACUAAAACUGUUUUAAUUUUCCAACCUGUAAGCAUCUCUCCCUUUCUCUUCCAGGAGGAGGAGAAAAUAUUUUUCAUAUAAAACAUUAAGAAAAAAAUCAUUAAUGUUAUGGAAUGUUACAAACAUUUCCACACAAAAAGAAAUACGUGUUUUACCGAUUUUAUUAUUUAUGGGACAUGAAGAAGGGCUUCUUCAAGUACAUCAGGAGCAAAAGGAAGGCUAGGGAAGAUGUAGGUACAUAUCUCUGGAGACAUUCAAAACCUUCCUGGUCACAUUCCUGUGCAAUCUACUCUAGGUGUACCUGCUUUACAGGUGGGUUAGACUAGAUGAUCUCCAGAGGUCACUUGACCCCUAACCGUUCUAUUAUUCUGUGAUUAUCUUUCAUGUUCAAUAUAUGACUUCCACAUUUCUGAGCUUGUACUCUGUGUGAGACUCCUCAACUGUAUUUUAGCAAAUUGUUGUAAGCAUCUUCCAUGAGAUUUGCGGCAUUUAAUUUAAGCUGUGGUGAAUGCUGACAACAGAUAAAUUGUUUUCUAGUAUAGCAAAUGGAGAUCUAAGCAAUACAAGAGAAAAACCUAGUUUGUGUGAUUUUAGCAUUCUAUAGAAUACAAACUAUAAUUGAAAAGAGGAUGAAUGAAAAGGAUGUCAAAAAGAGGAAAUGAAAGUGAUGUUUACACAUUCCAAUGUGUAAACACAAUUCUUAAAAAUUCCAAAACUACCUUAUAGUAACUUAGAAUAUUGACUGAAAAUAAUCUAAUUUUAAAAAAAGAUGGUUAAUUAGAGUAUUUCAAGAUCACUCACAGGUGAUAUAUAAAUAUAACGUCUACGCUUAGGUUUGAGAAUUGUUAAUGUCACAUGAAGUUUCUCAGGGUAAAAUUAUGCUGAAUGUAUUUUACACUCUAGUCCACUGAAGGUGGAACACAAGUACCAAUUUUCACUACAUAAAUAUCUUCACUAUCUUCAGAAGAGCUGCUAUUGCAUAUAAUACAGAGAGGGGGUGAGGGUAAGGUUAUAUAUAACUCAAAAUAGAAUACUGCUUAAAGUUAAGGAGAAAACCAAUUAAUAUUAUAUAUAUUAAUGAUUAAUAUAAAGCCAAGUAAUAUUAAUGUCAAAAUGCAAUGGAAUAUAUGAAUGCUACUUCUAUUGUCACCCUCAUUUAAUGUGCUAACCAGCUAUUCAAAAACUGCUGCUAGUUGUUUUUCUUUCUCCGAAGUCAGUGCUGUCUAUGUGUGAAGACAUUGGACUGGAACUUGGGGCAUUUCUGCUCUGCUGUAGGCUCAUAAUCACAUGACGGGUAGCUUUGACCAAUAAAUCUUUUCACUUACCAGUGCCUUAGUUUCGCCAUAUAUAAAAAGUGAUUAUAUAAACAUUAUCUACAGCUAAAAAAAGCCAAGUGCAUAUAUGAGAUCAGUGAAAAAGAUCCAAUGAGAAGCAAGACUCUGAACUGAAAUAUUGCUAUUGGACUGAAUCAUGGUGUGAAUGGUCUGUAAAGAUAUAAAAGUGUAUGGUUUUCUGUGCUUGGGUGGGACCUCUGUGCAGCUACCAGCUUGACCCAGCCCUCCUGCUAUUCUGAUCCAUUAUUUCAUUUCAUUUCUGAGUAUUUUUUUUCCUGAAUAUUUGAUCCACGACAGGUUACCAGACCUCGCCUGAAAGUUUGCCUCCAGAGCUCUAAAAUACAGACUCUGGAGUGAAUGGUUAUUAGGGAGGGAAGGUGCCUGAAAUUUUGCUCUGUGAAUGGCUGUCAGGCUCCUGGAGAGAAGGUCAGCAGCGUUUGGCUUGGUGUAUUUCCUCCAUGCAGUAAAUAAUGGAGUGAACCUGCUGCCAAACUCUUUUAAGUUGUGCUUUUCUUUAAUAAAUCUAAAUGUUGUUCUGUAAUAAGCGGAGCCAUGACUUUCCAUCUAGGAGCCAUCACUCCCCCAUGACACUCAGGAGGCAGCAUUUCCCCAUAAGGUGGAGAACUGGGUGGAGGCCCACCAUUUGUCCCUGAGCACAGCUUCAGACACAUGGUUGACAUACAGAAAGGAUUUGCCCUGCUGACACUGGUUUGGCAGGUGGGUAAGGAGACAUAGCGGAAGAAGAGAACAGGAGCUGCUGAAGUAGAGGGACUGAAAGCACCAUAGGUGAGUUCUGUGGCUGAGGGAUAAUAUGUUGGGGCUAGAGCACAGUGGUUAACAAAGGUGGUUACAGGUGGAAGGGAUGGUCAAGAACAGCUGAGAGGAGGGGAAAUACAGACAAAGAAACAACACUACAAAGAGUCUUCUCAAAAAGCAGGUACAAAGAAGCCUUUGACUGAACCACAGUUGUGAACAGACGCAGAAUGGAUUGGGAAGAGAAGCUGACAUAGAGAUUGAGACUGUCAACUUAGAAAUACAGAGAACCGCACAGGUAAGAGACAGUAGAAAACCGAAGGAAUCCAGGUCAAAAAGGAGAGAUAGAUAGACAGAAAGAAAGGAUGAAUGAGAGAUUGGAACACAGACAGUGAAGAGCAGAGUGGGCACAGGCCAAGAAAAGAAAAGAACCUAACCCAGAGGAAAUCCGAACAGAGAAUUAUUUAUUUGUACAUUAAUAUAAAGGUACACUGUACUACCAUUUAAAAAUAAGAGCUCUGUCUGUGCAAUAUGUAUUGUAAAUACCUAGUAUAUAGUUUUAACUACCUGGAUGUAGAAUUUUCCAUCUAGAAAUAAUAUUUUUUCUCUGUAUUAUGUGCAGAUGUGCUGUCCAAAGCAGAAGACUUAUUCAAUACCUAAAAACUACAGGAUAUUCUGUGGUGUGGGUUUUGUUUAGGUUGGGUUUGGUUUUCACUUUACUGUCAAUUCAGGGUUCAGUAUCUUUUUUUCAACACCAACAACGUGGGAAUCAGAACAUUUCAGGAACUGGCUAUCCUAGUGGCAGCAGGAACUGGAACAAUCUGGUGGGUGUUUAACCUUUGAUAAUGAUUCUUAACUAGCAUAUAUUUCUGUUGGGCAGCUUGAGUGAUGUUUCUUCUAGCUGUACUUAGGCAGCUACAAUGUAAGAAUUUACACAAAGCUAAAUUUCUACUCAGUUUUUUUUAAUAUUAAAUAAAAUAUGCAAGCAUGGACACUUUUCAUCUCUUCUGUGAAAUUCUAAAAAUCUGAUUAAUUUGCUCUGCAUAUUCCUGUGAGUCCAAGUAUCUAUCUUCAUAUUUACAUACCACAAUAACACCUCUGGACUCCAGACCAACAGAAGGAUCCUGGCAUAGAGCUAGUACUCUGUGGAGUAGAAUUAGCCAUAUUUAUUCUGCAUAAGGGUUAGUCUGGGUCUACCUUGGUUUGUGUGACCCUAUAGUAGCCUGCUGCAGUGAUGUUUUCACAGUAUGUGCUCAGUGCCCUGGAGCCUGGUGUGAUAUCAGUUGCUGAUAUUUGGGAAUGAAGAGUUGCCUGGAAUAAUAUGGGACAACUGUUCCAAGUGGAGGAACCAGGACAAGCUUCUCAUCCAUAUACUAUGUCUGUAGCAGAGCAUCCAUUAGAAGUGCUUGUAUUUUUGUUGAUGGUACAAUUUGGCUCACAUCACAGGAGAUCCCACAUACUGUCCAGAGCAGAGCCAAAGUGGUGCUGCAGACACCUCACUCCCAAAGGGGACUACACCAUCAGUUUCUAGCAGCAGCUGAGAACAAACUCUGCUAUAAAGCAAACACAUUUCCUUUGACACGAGUGGUCAUGGGCCUCAUGAAAUGCAAAUUAAAUUCAUCCACAGAUCUUCAGCAUUAAUAGAUCUACAGGUAACACCAGGCUAGAAAGGUCUCUUGAAACAAUGGAGCUUUGUACAUCCUUAUCACCAGUUUGGUCCCACAAAUAUGCAGUCUGUUAGCUUUGUUUUGCAGUUUCCAUCACAAAGGGGGUGGAGGAAGAGUUGAUUUGUUGUUUACUCAUUGCUUUCUUAUUCUGUCCAAGGUACCACUGCCCUUUGUCUCCAGACAGUGACCAAUAACCCAUAGUCUCCUCUGAAAAGAGCAUAUUGAUGUAAGGGGCUGAAUUUCAUCCUGCAUACCUGUGGGGUCCCGGUCCAAUUUCGGACUCAGGAAGGUCCAAAAAAUGAUUCCAAGGGUGAGAUUAAGACACAAAUGAGGUCAGAUGCCGCUAAACUAUCUUAUUUUAUUUUUAUGCCUAAAGACAGAGUAAAUCUAUUUCACUUUCACACCUAAAUCUAGAGUGACAAAGAGAAAGCGGGGGAGAAAUUAGGAGGAAAGUUAAGCAAGCAUGCGAGAAGAUAAGCAAGAGAUAAGCAAGAGAUAGUCACGGCCAGGGAUCCAAAGGUCUCCUGUGGGGCAGCUCUCAGGUCUCAGGCCUCUGCAGCGCUGGCAGUUUGCAGGUCUCAGGUCCCAGUAACUCUGGCACUUUGCAGGUCUCGGGUCGUGCCAGUAUCAGAGUCCAGGUUCUGGUAGCAGAGUUCAGGUCCCAGGAGGUGUUGGCAGCACUUGGGUGUCAGGUCCGCCGGUCCCAGGUGACAGGUUUUGGCCCUGGUGGUGGAUGGCCACACUUGCAAGUCAUAACCUGGUCAUUUUAUGGCAGUUGGUGGCAGGUGUUGCCUGAGCACACUGCAGGCCUGGUCGCAGAUGUUGGUGGCUGAUAUCGCUGGAGCUUCACUUGAGCUUACCUAAGCUUCAAGCAUUCUUUGUGUUUUAGCAAUUCACAGUGAUCAUGCAUUUUGCACUUUAAGUCACUGUAUUUAGGCCUUUACAGUGGACCCAAUUAAGCAAGCAGCCUGAGCAAGCAUUUUUCUGUAACAAGCAGCCUUAAGCAUAUUAUUUUAGCAAGCAAGCUUUGAGACAAAUAAUUCACAAUAUCUCUGCCUUCCACAAUUAUGCCGUGUGUUAAGGACCACCAGCUCUCACACACACUCAAACUGUAUGCUGAGAGCUAUCUUAUCUCGCAAUACCUUGCAAGAUCCAGCAUGUGUGUCAUUCUAGACCACUAGGACAAGACUCAUCUGAUAAGACUAAUUCUUAAGCAGAAGUACUAAUUUCCAUUUUAGGAUAAUUUAUCAUGUAGUGACAAACUAAGAUCCAGACAUCUCUACUCUGAACGUCUUGAGCUGGAUAAACAGACUCGGGUUCCAGAGAUUAAACAUGGGAACUCUGAAGAGCGAAAUACAAAUAAAUUUAUCCAGCUCACAUCUAAAAGUUGGUUAUGUAUUUCUAAGGAAAUUAUCUAGGCUUUCUCUGUAAACAUUAGAAAGAAGUGGGUCCUACCAAAGUCUAUUAAUCCCAUACUUAGGGAUCUAGAGAUAGUCUCUGUAUUGUUCUUACCCAAACAACAUUCAAAACAACUAAUUAUAUUUCUAGAUCUGUGAUUGCUGUUAUAAUAUAAACACAAAGACAAGACCACUAGAAUCUUUUAUUUUUCUAUAAUUCAGAAAUAAAUCCUUUGAAAUCAAUACAGCUGCAUUUUUAAUUAAGGUGUGUGUGCGUGCACAUGUGCAUGUAUUAGGAAUAACUUAAGUUAAAGGUUUUAGACAAUUAAAAUUGGUUUGUGUUAUAGCUGAUACAGAAAAAAACUACUUUUGUUUGGUCAGAUGUGUGUCUUCAAUGACCUUUACUGCAAGCCAUUGCCUUGAGAAGUGAAAGCUGGGUUGUACACCACUAUAUAAGAAAGUAGGACCUGCCUUAUGGCCCUGAUAUUCUCUUCCUUAACCUGAAGUCCUUUUCUGUGUUCUGAUUUGUUUUGGUUUUAGUAUGAGCGACGUGAGUCAGAGCUUGUAUCAGCUUUCGUGGUAAGGACUUCUUACCUCUGCUUUCCCUCAGCUCUGACCUAUCAAUAUAUAUGGAUAUCUUGCUAAACAUCAGUCCUCUUCCUUUAUGCAUGUUGAAGAACACCUAGUACCAAGGCUGAGUCUUCUGUCAUGUAAGAACAGCUUUCUUGUCAAAUAACUUAAUUUCUGAGUUUUAUUCUUAAUGACAACUUCUGAUCAUCCACCACAAGAAUAUAUUGAAUCUGGGGUAGUCCUUUAAUGGGAAACAAAAUAUGGGUUCAGCAUGACAGAUGCUUCACUGUGUUAACCCCUUCACGAAUAUGAGCCAGCAGCGUGCCCAGGUGGCCAAGAAGGCCAACUGCAUCCAGACGUGUAUCAGAAAUAGUGGGCUCAGUAGGACCAGGGCUGUGACUGUCCUGUACUGGGCAUUGGUGAGGCUGCACCUCGAAUCCUGUGGUCAAUUUUGGGCUCCUCGCUACAGAAAAGACCUCGAGGUGCUGGAGUGAGUUCAGAGAAGGGCAAUGGAACUGGUGAAGGGUCUGGAACACAAAUCUCAUGAGGAGUAGCUCAAAGAACUGGGGCUGUUUAGCCUGGGGAAAAGGAAGCUGAGAGACCUUAUUGCUCACUACAACUACUUGAAAGGAGGUCACAAGCUUUGUGCAUGUUGUUUGUCUUCAGCUCAUGCCAUUUUGGGGAUGUAAUCUGACUCCAGAUCCAGAUUUGCAGAUGUGUACAAGCCCACUGGAUGUCUGAAUUCCCGUCAUCAUCCAAAAAGAACAAAUCCAUAAAGUUAAUGUAGUAUGGAGACUGAAUCUACUGAAAAAGUGUGGCUGGCAUCUAUAGCCAACAGUGACAGCUCAGACACCCACUUCAAAUGUCAACAUUUGGAUAUUCUGAUGCCUAAAGAUGUUUUGUGUCAUUUUAGAUGUCCAGGAGUAUUCCAUCUGUCCCACAAAUGCCAUUCCAAAAUUAUAUGAGGUUCUUAUAGCUGUUGUAGCUCCUGGUUUUAUGUCAGAAAUCUCUUAUCUAGUCUGUGUGAGGAAUCCAUGCUAAUAAUCACUUGAUGGAUAUUGAGAACUUAUAUGUGAUAACUCUGAGAUGAAACCAAUUGUUCCUGAAGAACAGAAUAUCUAUUCUAGAGUCUCUGUCUCUCCAAGCUGUUAUACCUACCAGGAAAUUACUCCUACUUAUUUUUGGCAUAGUGAAACUAGUGAUGUGAUUAAAUCAACAGUCCAUGCCCUCCAUUAUAAAAAUAUUAUGCAUCCUCUCAGUAUAAGACCUUCAGCUCAUAUGCUACCUUAUUUUCUGACUACACAAGCAGUGAUAUAUGUCUCAAAUAUGCUUUUACAUUUUAAAUCAGAGAUUUUAAAAGAUAAUUAACUGAAUCUCUUACUGCCAGUUCAUUUUCUCUUUUAAUUAACUCUGAAAAAAUAUUUUUCAUUUUUUAUAUUUUAAUUAAUAGCUUUUGUACAAAUUAAGAUGUCAAUAAAAACAAACAUGUUAAUCUUCUGCAAAGAGGUGUGCCUUGUAAUUCUUCCGUGGAACUUCAGGCUCUCAAGAUAAAAAAAAAAAAACAGAUGACACGGAAUUAAGA